Molecule: ribosomal RNA, 367 nt
Filed under: uncultured eukaryote
Lineage: Eukaryota
Description: partial 18S ribosomal RNA
Rfam family: Eukaryotic small subunit ribosomal RNA
Source: RNAcentral
CAAUAGCGUAUAUUAAAGUUGUUGCAGUUAAAAAGCUCGUAGUUGAAGAUACGAACGCUUACACUAGAACAAAGUUUCCGGUGUCUGCGUUCACUUUUCGCAAAGACAGCCUGGCCCAUUAGUUUGGGUCUUGUUUGAGUUGCGUCAUUUACUGUGAACAAAUUAGGGUGUUUAAAGCAGGCCUACGUUUGAAUACACUAGCAUGGAAUAAUAAGAUAUGAUCUUGGUCGUAUUUUGUUGGUGACUACCAAGAUAAUGAUUGAUAGAAACUGUUGUGGGUAUUCGUAUGAGCAUGUCAGAGGUGAAAUUCUUGGAUUUUGAUCAGACGAACUACUGCGAAAGUAUUUACCAAGGAUGUUUUCAUUAA